Long non-coding RNA from Pipra filicauda (Wire-tailed manakin), 462 nucleotides. RefSeq lists it as uncharacterized. Lineage: Eukaryota; Metazoa; Chordata; Aves; Passeriformes; Pipridae. The transcript has 3 exons. The record is from RefSeq and is a predicted model, not a curated record.
CUCAAACAUCAACUGAUUUUAUUCUUAAUACAUUGAAAUUUCAGUUCUUUUAAAAGAAAAUCAGGACAAUGAAUCAAGCAAGCUACACUGGAUGUACAACAGGAAAAACUUUUUGUUUUGAGGUAGUCAUCAAAAAAGUUUGAAGAUGGAUUAUUGUGGUUUAACUCCUUGCCUCAUCUUGUACAUUAGGUUAGCUGAAUGCCCCUUCUCCCUUCCACUGAGAAGGCCAUCAAACCAGGAAGAAUGUGAGCUACUCAAGCUGUUAUUCCAGAUUACACAGCAUGAACAACAUGUAAUGAUUUUACACCCAUUUCAAGUACAGCUGCUGAAACACAAGGGGCAAAUUAAGCUACUACAGAGCAAAGGUAUUCAAGAGACAGAUAAACACACAGAACCUGAACUCCUACUUCAUUCCUUGCACAUGAUGGACAUGCUCAUGUGAGUUGGGUGUGCAGAGUAAAG